UAGCAUUUCCUGGUUGUUUUGCUAUAGCUGAAGAUAAUUGUCUGCAUGUGAUGGCAAGAGGAAAAACCUCAAGUAUAAUUUUUAUUCUCCCUACUGUUUUCACAGAAUCACAGAAUUAUAGGGGUUAGAAGGGACCUCAAAAGAUCAUUGUGUCCAACCCCCCUGCCAAAGCAGGUACCCUAGAGCAGGUUGCCCAGAGAUAAUGAGAAGAAGUCUUCUGAGAGAAGUCUCCUGCUUAACUCAAGCUAUGGAACAUUGAGCUACUGCUGUAAAAAUCAAAGAACCGAAGAAAUCAAAACAGUCAGGUUGUCCACAUGCUACCACCAUAACACUGAGACACAACCAGUACAGGUCAGCUGGGAUCAACCUGAAAUUACUGCCAAUAUAGGAUGCUCCUAUAGCCAAUGCCUCCUGCUUCCUAUACCAGAUUGGUCAGGUUCAAUACACAGCCCAAGAUGAAUUUGAAAACACAGACUUUUGAUGACUACCUUAAACCAGCAAAAGUGUGUCUGUUUACAGGACAGAAUAUGAGAAUGAUCCAGCACCAGACAGUGUGGAUUGAAGAGGAUACCUGA
Molecule: long non-coding RNA, 575 nt
Filed under: Cairina moschata (Muscovy duck)
Lineage: Eukaryota; Metazoa; Chordata; Aves; Anseriformes; Anatidae
Description: domestica (muscovy Duck (domestic type)) lncRNA (ENSCMMG00000016582.1)
Source: RNAcentral